Long non-coding RNA from Cavia porcellus (domestic guinea pig), 5975 nucleotides. RefSeq lists it as uncharacterized. Lineage: Eukaryota; Metazoa; Chordata; Mammalia; Rodentia; Caviidae. The record is from RefSeq and is a predicted model, not a curated record. The transcript is spliced from 2 exons.
CAUCCUCCCAACCCAAACACCCCCUCACCCCUUCCACCCACCCCCCACCCCCCAACCCCCCACCCCUCACCUCUACCUCGCAUGGUUGCCGCUGCCUGGGCUAGGUGCCUGCCUGGCCGGCGGGAAGUUGCUUGAACACACGCACUCGGCCUGUCGCGGGGGCGCGCCUGGCCCUGGGCGGGGCUGUAUGAUCCCCUUUUGUGGUAGAACAUAAUCAAAGUGGCUUCCAGCUGGUCCUCCACGAGGACGAGGAGUCUCCAGGCCUUAGACAUAAGAGUAUCAGUGCAGGUUGAAGAUCCGAAGUCUCGACUUCCGGGAAAACAUGGCGGACAGAUAACAGCAGCUACGGAGGCUCUCUAAAAGACUCGGCUCAGAAGUCAGGAGUGGUGCGGAGUAAGGAGACAUAAGCAGGUGGAGAUAUGCUCUGCUGACCCAGGAACGAACUAGGCUGAGAGAAACCAACUUAGAAUGCAGUCCUGGUGCUAGAACAGGAACAGAGGGGUCUCAGUGUGGAGGCUGGAGCCUGCGCCAUUGGAAGCCGUGAUUUGGGUUUCCCGCCGCUCAGCAGCUGCGUCUACAUCAGCUCGGCAGUGAGAGAGAUGCACAGAAGCUCUGAGAACGGGAAUCUGUGAACGGAGUUGAAAACAGGAUGGGCGGGGAGCCGUGCACUGACUUGUGGUGAGGUGAGUGAGAGAAACUGACACUCUACCACAGUUUGACUCCAGCGGAGGACAUUCUGGGACUGGGCAGACUUGUGGGAGCGGGGCGCUGCAGCGACUCCAGCCACGUAUCCCCCUCUCAAGCAGGAUUGGUGAGAAGUGCCUAGGCUACGUGAUGCUGCUGGCAGACCCAGUAGGCUAGCCCAACCCAGAUCCCAGAGCCUGAGGGUGGCCUGGAGGGGCAGGCCCCGCGUAGGCUGCCUGGUCUGGAACUUCCUGGUGUGCUGUGGUGGGCAGGAACACCUAGCUGGCGCAAUUCGAUCAGGCUGUGGCUGACAGGGAGGGAAGCUGGGCCUCCUAUAUAAGCUUGCAUAUAUAAGGAACAAAGAAUAUGGGAAGAGGCAGCAACAAGAAAGGCUCCUCGGCCCCUAAUCCUGAGAAACAGGUAAUAGCGGUCACCACACCAAUAGACAUAAAGCGCCAUCUAGAGAGCCUCAUAGAUUAGUUCAGGAAUGAAGUUAUUAAUGACCUGAAGCUAGAAGUAAGCAGAAUAGUUAGAGAAAUGCUAAGCACCACACAAGAAAAAACGGAUGGUGGAAUGGAAGAACAGAAAAAGAGGGGAGAAUUGUUUGAUGGAGAAAAUAGAGAAAGCAUAGAAUACGUGAAGCAGGUUCAAAGGGACUACCAGGAAACUAAAAACUCUAUCGAAAACUGGCAUAACAGCUUGAAAGAAACUAAGGACAGACUAUCUGAACUGGAGGGCAGAUUUAUAAUAUGGGAGAAUGAAAGGAAAAACUUCUUAAAAAUAACAAAGAAACAAACAGCAAUAAUACAAAGACAAGAAGAUGAUAAGAGGAUCCAUAACUUAAGAAUUAAGAACAUAAAAGAAGAAGUAGGGACACAAACAAGUGAACUACAAAAGCUACUCACAGAAAUAAUCCAGGAGAAUUUUCCUAAUUUAGCAAAAGGUAAAGAUACUCAGAUGUAUGAGGCACACAGGACCCCAGCCACCUACAACCCAAACAGAGCAACACCCAGGCAUAUAAUAAUAAAAAUUCCAGAAAUUCAAUACAAGAACAGAAUAUUAAAAGCUGUCAGAGACAAGAAACAGACCACUUACAAGGGAGCACCCAUCAGAAUUACAGCAGAUUUCUCUGCACAAACCAUCAAAUCAUGAAGAGCGUGGGGGGAAAUAAUUCAAGCUUUGAAAGAUAAUAAUCUCCAGCCAAGAUUGAGAUAUCCUGCACAACUGUCCCUGGAAAUUGAUGGAAAAACAAGGUGCUUCCAGGAUAAAGAGGAACUGGGGGAAUUUGCAACCACCAAUUCAACUCUACAGAGAGUAUUGCAGGAUAUUCUAAAAAAAGAAAAAUACAGAGAAUCCAGAAAUAGUGGGGGGGAGGCCACAAUGAAUGGAGCAGAGAACAAAAUGAAGAAGACAAACUGACAGCUACUGACAGAAAAAGAGCUCAACAGAAAUGAGGCAGAGAAGAUUGGAUGAUAGGAACUGCUAUUUUGGAGAAAAUGAUGUCUUAAUAUGUAAUACUGAUUUAGUAUCAUCUUGUUUUGAAGUCUCAUCAAUGAAAUCUCAUUUUGUUCUUCUGUCUCCAUUGGUCUAAACAGGUUGUAUCUUAUUGGAUUUUAUUAUGUAUGAUAGUAUAAGCAAAAACUUUUAAAGACAAGGAGAUUAUACAGAAACCAGUGUUCAUUUUCUGUUAGUUGAUUCUAAAUACCCUGUAAUGCUGUCAUUCUCUUAAAUGGUUUUACAUUGUUUUGAUAUAUUUAAUGCUACAGUAUACAAAGUUGUACUCAAGGAUUUCAAGGAAAGACACAAUAUGGUAACUACUUUUAUGUCAGGAUUAUCUUGUGGUGAAACACUAUUCUGCUUAAAUGGUUGUGUUUUGAUCUGUGCUGUUUUGCUGUUAUGCCCUCUUUUAUCUCAAUCUCCACUCCAUUAUUUACUUUUUUAUUUUUAUCCUUUUAAUUAAGGGAAAAAUAAAUAAAAAUAGCAGGAUAUAUUAUAGUAACCCACUUUGACUUUCCAUUAUCUUGAUUUGAAGCCCUGUGUUGCUCUCACCAUCUUGUUUUUGACUGAUGUUCCUCUAUUCUGUUUUGCUGGAUAGUACCAGGUUCAAAAGUUUAGGCAACAGCUGUGAAGAUAGUGAGAUUCAUUAUGACGCCCAUUCUCGUUGACUUUUAUCUACUUUUGAAGACCUACAAUGUAUCCAAUGUUUUGGUUUUGUUGGUUUUGUUCUUUAUUGUUUUGUUCAAUUUUAUUAUAACUGAUGAUAUAGGCAAUUCUAUUAGAGAUAGCGGGAGGCAUUAUGGUAACCAUUAUUGAUCACCUUGUAUUAUGCUUUUACAUUAUCUAUUAUGUCCACCCUUUUGAUUUGAUUGACUCUGUUCUGUUAAGUCACAUUUGGUUCUACUCCCUUCCACAAAAGUAGUAAGAACUGUGGGAGCAACAAAACCCAAAAUGUGUAAUUGUCAUUGUACAAAAGAGGAAAAGAAAGGGCUCUAAAUGAUAUAACUGCAGGUAUAUUUAAGUGUAUAAGAUAGAAAAUGAUAUCACUGAGUUUUAUUGGAUCAUUGAACAGAACUUUUGCAGUAUCAUUGUUGGAAUGUCCACUUUACAAGCUUUAAUUUUGUGACUUGAACAAUUAUUUCUAAGAUGACAAUAUGUAAUCCAUUAACUAGUGAUUUCCUACUGUUUAUUUUUUUCUGUAAAUCUGUAUAACUGGUAUCCUUUCUCUGCUUUUUUUUCUCCUUAAAUAAAUUAAAAAAAAAAAAAGAAGAAGAUCCGAAGUCUCAAAUUCUCCAAGCCCUGGAACCUUAAGGGCAAACACCAUGCCACAAGGAGACCCCACAGAUGACUCCCUGUGACCCUCACAGUCAAAGCACAGGUGUGUGGCAGCUUCUCCCCAGAUGCCUGCUGGCCUGAAGCCUGAAGCCUGAAGCCCACUGUCUCCAGCCCCAACAGCAUGCUGGCGAGGGUCAGAGCUGGGUGCAAGGAGGGGGCUGAGCUGGGGCCACUGGACUCACUUGAGGACCAGGAGAUGGAGCUAAAGCGUUAGGUUCUAUUUAUGAAGGAGACAACUGUUUCUGGGAAUUAUGUCCAGUUUCAUUUCCACAUGGGAUAGAUGAAAAGGUGACCCCCAAUGCCUUUUUAGUAGAGAUUUCCUGGAUAGAAACAUACCUCCAGCCCUGCCCCAAUUACAUGUAUGAAGGCUUUUAAAAAAACAAUAACAUAUCAUCGCUGUAAAACAAAGUAAACUGAAGUUCCGGGAAGCAGUGGAAAUUAACCUGAGAACAGCAGUGACCUAUACAUCCUUUGACUACGCCAAGGAGAAUAAAGAGCUGUUUGCAGAGAAUCACUGUCCCAUUCGUUCAACAUCCAUAGCACUGUCAUCUCAGUUGAAACUCCUAAUGUUAUGGCUUGUGUCUAGAUGCCCCUCCAAAGCCUCCUGCAGUCAUAGGUGGGGCAUUGUCAGAGGUGACCAGAUCUAGAGUGUGUGAUAGGUGCAGUGAUAGGAUUAAGGGUGGGUGGUUACUAAAUCAGCCCACUGAUUGGUUUGGUCCUAAUCCUGGCAGCAUGGAUACAGAAAUAAACUCAUCUUACCCUCUCCCUUGAUGCCCACCAAGAACUUUUCCUGUGCCUCUCCACCUUGCCUGGAGCCAGCUGAGGGUGGACUGAAACCUCUACAAACUGGGAGCUAAAUAAACCUCCCUUAUCUUGUGGGUGUUGGGUAUUUUGUCUAUCUAACAAGAGAAAUGUAAUUAACACACCUAGUAUAACCCCAUCAAGUUAGAAAAACGACAAAAAGGACAACUUUCAAAAACUCAGAAACACAAACUGGCAGAUAAAACAGAUCAGGAAGAGGAGCUUGCUCCGGGCUGGAAUUGGGUUGAUUUGGUGAAGCACUGAGGAGCACAGACCUGAAGGGGACAACUAGCCCUUGGAAUCUGAGAUAAGGGAAGAGUGUCCCUUAGAAAGUAAACUGGUUUCCACAGCUUUCAUUACCAUUUUCUGGUACUGAGGUGUUUUUUUUUUUUUUUUUUUUAGUAUAUAUAGAAUAUGGUUUUUGUAUGUUGCUUACACAAUAGAUGUAAGCAGAAAGUUCAUGAAGAGAUCUGGUCAAUUAAAUUAUUUUUACAAAACUGCCUUAAUAGAUGGUGGAAAUGUUACUGUUCAGUAUGCAGUAAUUUAUGAAGCCUGUUAAGCUCUGUAAAUGUACAAACAUAAGGAGUAAUCAGUUUAUUUAUAUGAACUUACUCUAGUGGAUGUGGUGGCUUUUCAAGGAGAAUGAGAACGUGUAGACAGGUACUUCAUAGCAUGAUCCACAUUAAUAGGUUUGUACCCCAAAGUCUUUAUCUUUUCUCUUACUUAACUAGAAGCAGAAUUACAUCAAAGAAAUUUAAAUAGCAGUGUUUGCACUUUAUUUCAUGCUCUUUGUAGUUACUUUUUAUUUUUCAACAAUGAACUCCUUUCAUUUAAAAAAACUGACAACUGUUUAGACUUUUGAUUUGGGUCACAAUGUUUUUUGUUUUGUUUUGUUUUUUUGUCUUUUUGAGACAGGGUCUCACUAUGCAGUUGAGAACCUUGAACUCACUUUGUAGCCCAAACAGCCCUCAAACAUACAGUGAUCCUCCUGCCUCAGCCUCCUGAGUUCUAGGAUUAUAGGCGAGCACCACCAUGUUUGGCUGGGUCAAGGUGUUUGAUCAUGAGAGCUUUCAAUCAUGUGAGUAAUAGGUGAGUAUAAAAGCCAAUCUAGGGGGCUGGGGAUUUAGCUCAGCAGCAUAAGCACAUGCCUUGCAAGCAGGCAGUUGUGAGUUUGAUCCCUGGUAUCGAUUAAAAAAAAAAAAAGAAAAAGCCAAUCUGUCAGAUACGUUAGAAGACUUUUGCAUAAAGCAAGGUGUGGUGGUGCAAUCUUGUAAUCAAAGCACUCUGGAAGUUGAGGUAGAAUUAUACAUUGGAGGCCAGCCUGGGAUACAUAGGGCGAACUUGUCUCAAAAACAAAACAAAAGACAGAGAAGGAGAGAAAAGAAAAAAUUGCAUCAAUAUUAUUUAAACAUUUCAUUUUGCACUCAGGAGGCUGAGGCAGGAGGAUUGCCGUGAGUUCAACGCCAGGCUGGGCUACAUAGUGAUUUCAAGGCCAGCCUGAAUAAUAUAGCCAGAUCUUGUCUCAACACCCCCCAAAAUGUAAGUAAAUAAAUAGUAGAAUGAAAAAAUGUUUUCUUUGCUGCAUAUACUAGUAUGGGAGUAAGUGAUACCUUAAUAAUUUGUAUAUUGUUGGAAACAGUGAUUUUCAUAAAAUUUUA